This 253-nucleotide ribosomal RNA is filed under the name uncultured bacterium. RNAcentral's name for it is "partial 16S ribosomal RNA". It matches the Rfam family "Bacterial small subunit ribosomal RNA", at positions 524 to 776 of the family's 1533-position model. The record is from RNAcentral.
UACAGAGGUCUCAAGCGUUGUUCGGAUUCAUUGGGCGUAAAGGGUGUGUAGGUGGCGCCGUAAGUCAGGUGCGAAAUCUCGGGGCUUAACUCCGAAACUGCAUUUGAUACUGCGGUGCUUGAGGACUGGAGAGGAGACUGGAAUUUAUGGUGUAGCAGUGAAAUGCGUAGAUAUCAUAAGGAAGACCAGUGGCGAAGGCGGGUCUCUGGACAGUUCCUGACACUGAGACACGAAGGCCAGGGGAGCAAACGGG